GGUCUCACAUAGCCCAGGCUGGCCUGUGACUUGUUGGGUAGCCAAAGCUAACCCUGAAAUACUCUCCUUCCUCCUCUGUCUUCUGAGUGAUGAUAAUAUAUGGGUGUAUUACUUCUGAUGUAUUUAUUUGGCAAUACUGGAGUCUCGUGCAUGCUACACAAGGUCUCUACCCUUGAGCUCAAUUCCCCAAUGUGCCCUCCUCCCCCAGGGUAUGUAUUUAACCUUGUCUACCUAGAACUUGCUCAUUAUUUGGAUCAGGCUAGCCUCCAACUCACAGAGAUCCUCCUACCUUUGCCUACCAAGUUCUGGUUAAAGGUGUAGGCCAUCCCUUGGCCCUUCCCUCUCAUGUGUUUUCAUUAUGUCUACGUGAUAAAGUCAAAGCUACAGUAAGGCCACCUCCCUGAGAAACUUCUUGGACAGAGAUGACCGCUAAGCUUUUCCUGGGGUUUGUUUGUUUGUUUGUUUGGAUUGGAGGAAAAUAUCCAACAAUAGCUCCAUCAUAUAAACCAACAUAGCCAUCAGUUCUAGCCUUGUUUAAGCCAGAUCAACUUAAGUAUUUUCAUAGAAACGACAAAGGCAUGGGGAAAAACUGGAAAACACAGAUAUUGCAAAACUGAAAGCAAACAGGUGAAGACGUUUCCUCCUCCGGAGUUGCCUUCGGGCUAAAGAUUGUAUCUGGUAGAUAGGAGGGAUAAAUAUUAUGCAACGGCAAACCUGGACUCAAGAGCUCCAUACUUACACCAUCUGACACAGACCUGGAUCUGGGGUCUUUCUCCUCUCCAGCAACACAUGGCCAGAGACUCUUAUGAUCUUAUGAGAGUUCUGGAUACCUUUCAAUCUAGAGCUAUGUAGCUAGUGAUGACCAUGAACUGCAGAUCUUCCUGUUUCGUCCUUCCAAGUGCUGGGAUGACAGAUGUCUGACAGCACACCUAGUUGAUAUGAUGCUGGAGACUGAACCAAAGACUUUCAACACAGGCCGACAUGCUAAGCACUUUCCAUCUUGAUGACAUUACUGCUGGCAAUGCUACCGUACAGUACAGCUCAUUAUAAAUCACAGCAGAAGAUCAGAAAGCACUAUCAUCAACUCAUAAAGAAAACAACUGAGGGACUGGAGAGAUGACUCAGCAGGUAAGAGCACUGGCUGCUCUUCCAGAGGACCUGGGUUUGAUUUCUAACCCCAAAUGGUGGCUCACAAUGGGUCCUGUCCUCUUCUCGUCUCUCUGGGUACCAGGCAUGCUCAUGGUACACAGACAUACAUACAGGCAAAACAUCCAUAGGAAUAAAAUGAAAUAGUGAUAAUGGUCUAAAAGAAAACCAAGUUUAGACUUUGUUCCCUGUGUAAAGAUGCUUGAUUGGAAGUCUGGCGGCCUGAGUUAGAUCCUAGGGUCCCACGUGGUAGAAACAAUGGGCUCCUGCAGAUUCUCCUCUGACCUCCAUAAGCACACCAUGGUACACAUAUGCUCCCCAACACACUCCCAUAAAAGUGAAAGAAUUCAUCCAGCCCAACAUAUAACAUUGAAUCUGAUGCCCAGCUAGAAAAUGGUUAAAACAUUUAUUUGAGCUUUGUGUACGUUUUCAAAGAUGAACUUGGGCAGAAACAGGAGAGACUCUGCCUUAAAGCAUGGUGGAAGGCAAACACCAUCUCCUCACUGUUUUCUCAUCUCCACAUGAGCACCAUGGUGUGUAUGCUUUCGAGUGUGUGCACAUGCUCGUGCACACCCACGCUCCCACCCACAUGCCAAAUCCAAGAAACUCACUUCACUCAAAGGAGGUGUGCAACAUUGUUGUUCUGUGCCGAGUGAGAACUUCCAGAAAGCAGAAGUGGAAGGAUCUAGUAUAGGAUAGAGAGAACGCCAGAGCUAGGGACAGCAUUAGAAUCUUAAAAUUAUGUGAUCAUUUCAUGACUUGCUUAUUAUGGUGGCUAUGAUGAAAAUAAGACCUGUGUAUUAUCUCAUUCGCUAUGGAAACAGCUGCUACUGCACCUGAGAAGUUUGCUGAGGGCUUGUAGGUCUCAGUCAUACAGUCGUAACUCCCUCUUAGCUUUACCAUUGUCUGAAUCUCCAUCAAAAACUUCUUCCUGUUUUGUCUCCUUCUUCCUCAUCCCCUUCCCCUCCUCAUCUUCCAUAUCUUAGUCUUCCUCUUCCUUUUCCUUCUCCUUUUCUUCCUUCUCAGUCCCUUCCUCAUCUUCCUUCUGUUUCUCCUCCUCCUUUGUAAUGUGUCAUUGAGGACUGAACCCAGGAC
Molecule: long non-coding RNA, 2241 nt
Filed under: Mus musculus (house mouse)
Lineage: Eukaryota; Metazoa; Chordata; Mammalia; Rodentia; Muridae
Description: predicted gene, 34639
Source: RNAcentral